GUCCCCUUUCAACCCCUGCCAUCCUGUAGGAUGGAAAGGCAAGAGCUCCCAGCACAACAGCUUUGGCCUUACUCGCUCCUGACUUCUGAGACAGACAAAUUACUCUUCUGGAAUCUUUGAAUUUCAGGAGCCAUGACAAGCAGGGAAGUCCUGUUGGUUCCCAGAGACUCCUACCUCCUGUGUCCCAUCACUGGAAAAUUCUGCUCAAGCCCAAGUCCUGCAGGAAGAUCCCAAUUUCCUGCCCAGAACUUACUGAACCAUCUUCUGGACCAUUUCUUUCUUGAUCUUUUACAUGGAGGCUGAUGUGUCUGCCUCUCUCUGGUCUCUCUUCCCUCUCCAUUCUCUCUACCCAAUAGGCUCCUGAGUCGUGCCAACAUGUUCAUGGCUGAACUGUAAGGGCACUGAACCAACUGUCCAAAGGCAGUUGGUGUUGCUACAACACAGGUGACAUCAGAAAACAUUCUAAGGUCUCCAGGACACAAUAGAAUGUCUUGGCAUGAGACCCCCUGAUGUCAUGGGGAACUGACAUUGCCUCCCUGCUAAUCAGAUGUCUUCAUAACUUGCCAGAAGUCAGGUUUCUCAUUCUAGGAAUCUCUCCUGGGACUCAAGAGAAAUGCUUCAGCACCCUUUUAUUCCAUAGCCAGAGAUUGCUCUCUGAUUGUUUGGAAAUGCCUCAGUAUUUCCAUGUGGGAAAGAAAGGAAAAGCUUCAGUUAGAAUGCUGUUCAUAUUUUCAAGGUUAGGCCAAAAGCAAUGAUUAAAAAUGAAUGAAGUUUGUUUACACAGACAGUUUACCUUGCUGAAAGACUUUACACUGAAAGAAAUAACCCUCAUGAUGUGUUUCAGUGGAACUUCUCACUAUUCCUUUAUUUCAGGGAACUUGCUAUGCAAUCAGGAAAUUCAUGAAGUCGUAGAUGGCUUUCAAUCUGACCAGGAUAGCAUCCCUGAGACCACCUAAUAAUGAAACAACUGAAUGUAGACAACAAACCCAUGAAUGUGAGAUGGACAGUAAACCUAUCUUUAACUUGGAGCAUGAGACAUCACGAUGUUUCCUGAUCACUGAGAUUUUGGGGUGAAAACAAGGAGACACCAGGUGAACAUUCCAUCAUUGAGAAGACUUUAAGAAAACUUUUCCUGAUAGAAGGAGCCCUACCUCUUCCUGUCUGGACCUGAGAAAACAGUAGCUGACAUUCUGCUCAGCAGGGAACUGACUUCUUGCACAUUUUACCUUGCUCUGCCCCUCUGGAGUAAUAACCCUGCUCCUCUGACCAGCAAUAUUAUCUUUGUCUACACAGGGGACAAGAUUACCUCAAUACAGGAUUUGGGAAGGAUUUAAUCAGUCUGGAGGAGGCAGGAAGAUCCCGAACACCCUGGAUAUCUACCUUUGCUGGUCUACAACCAGGAACAGUGAUUUUUUUCAUUUGAUGUCUUUCUUCCACAAGACUUAGAAAACAGCUCAAAUGAUUUUUACCUGUGAAGCACUGUGGCAUAUCUUUAGUUCUUCUAGUAUCAGGUCUCUUGAAUAGCUGGGUGAAUCACUAGGGGCCUACAGAAAUCAGCUACAAAGCAAGCAAGAGAAAUAGAAAUCAGAGUUAUUUGGGUUUGUAGGAAGGACACCAAAUGGCUGAAAUGUCUACUGAGGUUGUUCAAUGUUGCUAGUUCAUUUAAAAUUUUCUCUUUCAUGUUACCUAUA
Long non-coding RNA from Peromyscus eremicus (cactus mouse), 1691 nucleotides. RefSeq lists it as uncharacterized. The transcript is spliced from 4 exons. The record is from RefSeq and is a predicted model, not a curated record. NCBI's taxonomy places the organism in Eukaryota, Metazoa, Chordata, Mammalia, Rodentia, Cricetidae.